This 72-nucleotide transfer RNA is filed under the name Bos taurus (domestic cattle). It matches the Rfam family "tRNA". Rfam says of the family: Transfer RNA (tRNA) molecules are approximately 80 nucleotides in length. Their secondary structure includes four short double-helical elements and three loops (D, anti-codon, and T loops). Further hydrogen bonds mediate the characteristic L-shaped molecular structure. tRNAs have two regions of fundamental functional importance: the anti-codon, which is responsible for specific mRNA codon recognition, and the 3' end, to which the tRNAs corresponding amino acid is attached (by aminoacyl-tRNA synthetases). tRNAs cope with the degeneracy of the genetic code in two manners: having more than one tRNA (with a specific anti-codon) for a particular amino acid; and 'wobble' base-pairing, i.e. permitting non-standard base-pairing at the 3rd anti-codon position. The record is from Rfam by way of RNAcentral. Lineage: Eukaryota; Metazoa; Chordata; Mammalia; Artiodactyla; Bovidae. RNAcentral also lists the same sequence under 2 other names.
UCCUUGGUGGCUCAGACGGUAAAGUGUCUGCCUACAAUGUGGGAGACCUGGGUUCAAUCCCUGGUUCAGGAA